UAUUUUCAGGGAUUGGCAAA
This 20-nucleotide non-coding RNA is filed under the name Arabidopsis thaliana (thale cress). Lineage: Eukaryota; Viridiplantae; Streptophyta; Magnoliopsida; Brassicales; Brassicaceae. The record is from RNAcentral.